AUUGAACGCUGGCGGCAGGCCUAACACAUGCAAGUCGAACGGUAACAGGAAGAAGCUUGCUUCUUUGCUGACGAGUGGCGGACGUGUGAGUAAUGUCUGUGAAACUGCCUGAUGGAGGGGGAUAACUACUGGAAACGGUAGCUAAUACCGCAUAACGUCGCAAGCCCAAAGAGGGGGACCUUCGGGCCUCUUUCCAUCGGAUGUGCCCAGAUGGGAUUAGCUAGUAGGUGGGGUAACGGCUCACCUAGGCGACGAUCCCUAGCUGGUCUGAGAGGAUGACCAGCCACACUGGAACUGAGACACGGUCCAGACUCCUACGGGAGGCAGCAGUGGGGAAUAUUGCACAAUGGGCGCAAGCCUGAUGCAGCCAUGCCGCGUGUAUGAAGAAGGCCUUCGGGUUGAAAAGUACUUUUAGCGGGGAGGAAGGGAGUAAAGUUAAUACCUUUGCGCAUUGACGUUACCCGCAGAAGAAGCACCGGCUAACUCCGUG
This 490-nucleotide ribosomal RNA is filed under the name uncultured bacterium. Its description in RNAcentral is "partial 16S ribosomal RNA". It matches the Rfam family "Bacterial small subunit ribosomal RNA", at positions 30 to 507 of the family's 1533-position model. The record is from RNAcentral.